This 444-nucleotide ribosomal RNA is filed under the name uncultured bacterium. RNAcentral's name for it is "SSU rRNA". It matches the Rfam family "Bacterial small subunit ribosomal RNA", at positions 26 to 518 of the family's 1533-position model. The record is from RNAcentral.
AGAGCGAACGCUGGCGGCAGGCCUAAUACAUGCAAGUCGAACGAAUCCUUCGGGAUUAGUGGCGGACGGGUGAGUAACACGUGGGAACGUGCCCUUUGGUUCGGAACAACUCAGGGAAACUUGAGCUAAUACCGAAUGUGCCCUUCGGGGGAAAGAUUUAUCGCCAUUGGAGCGGCCCGCGUCUGAUUAGCUAGUUGGUGAGGUAAAGGCUCACCAAGGCUACGAUCAGUAGCUGGUCUGAGAGGAUGAUCAGCCACACUGGGACUGAGACACGGCCCAGACUCCUACGGGAGGCAGCAGUAGGGAAUCUUGCGCAAUGGGCGAAAGCCUGACGCAGCCAUGCCGCGUGAAUGAUGAAGGUCUUAGGAUUGUAAAAUUCUUUCAGCGGGACGAUAAUGACGGUACCCGCAGAAGAAGCCCGGCUAACUUCGUGCCAGCAGCCGC